GGUGCUCUCAAUCACUUGGGUGCUCAAAAUGAGCUUAAUAGGGAACCCUGUGCAAAUCAGGGACGGGCCCGCCGCUGUAACCGGGGACGAAUGCCGCAUGAGGCCACUGCCCGGCACUUACUUUUCUAAAUUUUUUCCUUCAAGAAAAAAGUAAGUGCUGGGUGGGAAGGCGCGGUGGAGGAUGAUCCGGAAGUCAGAAGACCUGCCUGAGUGAGCGCGUAAGA
Molecule: non-coding RNA, 224 nt
Filed under: Desulfonatronospira thiodismutans
Lineage: Bacteria; Pseudomonadati; Thermodesulfobacteriota; Desulfovibrionia; Desulfovibrionales; Desulfonatronovibrionaceae
Also listed under: 1 other name
Source: RNAcentral